Molecule: ribosomal RNA, 643 nt
Filed under: uncultured fungus
Lineage: Eukaryota; Fungi
Description: eukaryotic LSU rRNA
Rfam family: Eukaryotic large subunit ribosomal RNA
Source: RNAcentral
GCAUAUCAAUAAGCGGAGGAAAAGAAACUAACAAGGAUUCCCCUAGUAACGGCGAGUGAAGCGGGAAGAGCUCAAAUUUGAAAUCUGGUGGCCUCAGUUCAUCCGAGUUGUAAUCUAUAGAAGUGUUUUCCGUGCUGGCUCAUGUACAAGUCCCUUGGAACAGGGCGUCAUAGAGGGUGAGAAUCCCGUCCUUGACAUGAACUACCAGUGCUCUGUGAUACAUUUUCAACGAGUCGAGUUGUUUGGGAAUGCAGCUCAAAAUGGGUGGUAAAUUCCAUCUAAAGCUAAAUAUUGGCGAGAGACCGAUAGCGAACAAGUACCGUGAGGGAAAGAUGAAAAGCACUUUGGAAAGAGAGUUAAACAGUAUGUGAAAUUGUUGAAAGGGAAACGAUUGAAGUCAGUCGUGCUCUUUGGAUUCAGCCGGUUCUGCCGGUGUACUUCCUUUGAGUGGGGUCAACAUCAGUUUUGAUCGCUGGAUAAAGGCUGGAGGAACGUAGUACCCUCGGGUAAACUUAUAGCCUCCUGUCACAUACAGUGGUUGGGACUGAGGAACGCAGCACGCCUUUAUGGCCGGGAUUCGUCCACGUACGUGCUUAGGAUGUUGACAUAAUGGCUUUAAACGACCCGUCUUGAAACACGGACC